UACGGAGGGUGCAAACGUUGCUCGGAAUCAUUGGGCGUAAAGCGCGUGCAGGCGGCUUAUUAAGUCAAGUGUGAAAGCCCUGGGCUUAACCCAGGAAGUGCGCUUGAUACUGAUACGCUAGAGUACGGGAGAGGGUAGCGGAAUUCCCGGUGUAGAGGUGAAAUUCGUAGAUAUCGGGAGGAACACCAGUGGCGAAGGCGGCUAUCUGGACCGAUACUGACGCUGAGACGCGAAAGCGUGGGGAG
This 245-nucleotide ribosomal RNA is filed under the name uncultured bacterium. RNAcentral describes it as "partial 16S ribosomal RNA". It matches the Rfam family "Bacterial small subunit ribosomal RNA", at positions 524 to 768 of the family's 1533-position model. The record is from RNAcentral.